This 65-nucleotide transfer RNA is filed under the name Dipodomys ordii (Ord's kangaroo rat). It matches the Rfam family "tRNA". Rfam says of the family: Transfer RNA (tRNA) molecules are approximately 80 nucleotides in length. Their secondary structure includes four short double-helical elements and three loops (D, anti-codon, and T loops). Further hydrogen bonds mediate the characteristic L-shaped molecular structure. tRNAs have two regions of fundamental functional importance: the anti-codon, which is responsible for specific mRNA codon recognition, and the 3' end, to which the tRNAs corresponding amino acid is attached (by aminoacyl-tRNA synthetases). tRNAs cope with the degeneracy of the genetic code in two manners: having more than one tRNA (with a specific anti-codon) for a particular amino acid; and 'wobble' base-pairing, i.e. permitting non-standard base-pairing at the 3rd anti-codon position. The record is from Rfam by way of RNAcentral. Lineage: Eukaryota; Metazoa; Chordata; Mammalia; Rodentia; Heteromyidae.
AGUGGCUCAGUGGUAGAGUGCUUGUCUUGCAUGCAUGAGGUCCUGAGUUCGAUUCCUCAGUACUA